GUGGGGAAUCUUGCGCAAUGGGCGAAAGCCUGACGCAGCCAUGCCGCGUGAAUGAUGAAGGUCUUAGGAUUGUAAAAUUCUUUCACCGGGGACGAUAAUGACGGUACCCGGAGAAGAAGCUCCGGCUAACUUCGUGCCAGCAGCCGCGGUAAUACGAAGGGGGCUAGCGUUGCUCGGAAUUACUGGGCGUAAAGGGCGCGUAGGCGGACAGCUUAGUCAGAGGUGAAAGCCCAGGGCUCAACCGUGGAAUUGCCUUUGAUACUGGGUGUCUUGAGUAUGAGAGAGGUGUGUGGAACUCCGAGUGUAGAGGUGAAAUUCGUAGAUAUUCGGAAGAACACCAGUGGCGAAGGCGACACACUGGCUCAUUACUGACGCUGAGGCGCGAAAGCGUGGGGAGCAAACAGGAUUAGAUACCCUGGUAGUCC
This 425-nucleotide ribosomal RNA is filed under the name uncultured bacterium. RNAcentral's name for it is "partial 16S ribosomal RNA". It matches the Rfam family "Bacterial small subunit ribosomal RNA", at positions 354 to 796 of the family's 1533-position model. The record is from RNAcentral.